RNAcentral lists this long non-coding RNA (221 nucleotides) under Zostera marina. RNAcentral's name for it is "long non-coding RNA (ZMAR_LNC004251)". Lineage: Eukaryota; Viridiplantae; Streptophyta; Magnoliopsida; Alismatales; Zosteraceae. The record is from RNAcentral.
GUUAUCCAUGCACUAUCAGAUGGAUUGAUUCACUAUCAGAAUCUAGUUUCAGGCCAACGGAACUACGUGUUUAUAGUCCAACUCUGAUCAGGAGCGACUUUUACUGUGUCAUCAUCAAGGCCAAAGCGACAAGAUGAGAGGGAAUUAUUAAGGCCAAAGCGACAAAAUAAUUCCCGUCCAUUAAUGCCAAAGCGACAAAAUGGACUGACUCACUAUCAGAG